AAUCUAACUGCACGCAAUUGGAUAACACCACAACCAGUCACAACAACACACGGGGUGACGUAUCCAGAACCCCGUAUGCUUAGCUACCAGCAGCUAACUGGUAGACUAAACUGUCGUCAUCUGGUUGGAAAAACAGCAA
Molecule: long non-coding RNA, 139 nt
Organism: Etheostoma spectabile (orangethroat darter)
Lineage: Eukaryota; Metazoa; Chordata; Actinopteri; Perciformes; Percidae
Exons: 3
Source: RefSeq, a predicted model, not a curated record